UGGGGAAUAUUGCACAAUGGGCGAAAGCCUGAUGCAGCGACGCCGCGUGAGGGAUGACGGCCUUCGGGUUGUAAACCUCUUUCAGUAGGGACGAAGCGCAAGUGACGGUACCUGCAGAAGAAGCACCGGCUAACUACGUGCCAGCAGCCGCGGUAAUACGUAGGGUGCGAGCGUUGUCCGGAAUUACUGGGCGUAAAGAGCUCGUAGGCGGUUUGUCACGUCGUCUGUGAAAUCCUAGGGCUUAACCCUGGACGUGCAGGCGAUACGGGCUGACUUGAGUACUACAGGGGAGACUGGAAUUUCUGGUGUAGAGGUGGAAUGCACAGAUAUCAGGAAGAACACCGAUGGCGAAGGCAGGUCUCUGGGUAGUAACUGACGCUGAGGAGCGAAAGCAUGGGUAGCGAACAGG
RNAcentral lists this ribosomal RNA (409 nucleotides) under bacterium. Its description in RNAcentral is "partial 16S ribosomal RNA". It matches the Rfam family "Bacterial small subunit ribosomal RNA", at positions 355 to 776 of the family's 1533-position model. The record is from RNAcentral.